This 300-nucleotide ribosomal RNA is filed under the name uncultured bacterium. RNAcentral describes it as "bacterial SSU rRNA". It matches the Rfam family "Bacterial small subunit ribosomal RNA", at positions 775 to 1067 of the family's 1533-position model. The record is from RNAcentral.
GGAUUAGAUACCCUGGUAGUCCACGCUGUAAACGAUGGGCACUAGGUGUUGGUAGGGUAGAACCUAUCGGUGCCGGAGCUAACGCAUUAAGUGCCCUGCCUGGGGAGUACGGCCGCAAGGUUGAAACUCAAAGGAAUUGACGGGGGCCCGCACAAGCGGUGGAGCAUGUGGUUUAAUUCGAUGCUACGCGAAGAACCUUAUCCAGGCCUUGACAUAGUUGGAUGCUGCUCGUGAAAGCGAGUUAGUUGCCUUCGGGUGAAACUUCUACAGGUGCUGCAUGGCUGUCGUCAGCUCGUGCCG